GAGUACACCGUUACAAUCAAAUUCAAUUUCUUAAACAAUAAUUGCAAUAGUCCCUGAUAUGGAGAAUCUAUUGCUUUUACAAGGUAGGAAACUGCCUAAGAAAAUCUAACAACAAGAAUCUGACUGGAAAAAAUCGCACCCCACCCGUGAAGACUCACUUCUCCUUAUAUACUCCCCACCUUUCUUAAAAAUAGCCUUGAAUAUCU
This 206-nucleotide long non-coding RNA is filed under the name Lathyrus oleraceus (garden pea). Its description in RNAcentral is "Pisum sativum (pea) long non-coding RNA (PSAT_LNC002766)". Lineage: Eukaryota; Viridiplantae; Streptophyta; Magnoliopsida; Fabales; Fabaceae. The record is from RNAcentral.